This 447-nucleotide ribosomal RNA is filed under the name uncultured bacterium. RNAcentral's name for it is "bacterial SSU rRNA". It matches the Rfam family "Bacterial small subunit ribosomal RNA", at positions 330 to 792 of the family's 1533-position model. The record is from RNAcentral.
GCCAGACUCCUACGGGAGGCAGCAGUGGGGAAUAUUGGGCAAUGGGCGAAAGCCUGACCCAGCAACGCCGCGUGAAGGAAGAAGGCUUUCGGGUUGUAAACUUCUUUUGACAGGGAAGAGCAGAAGACGGUACCUGUCGAAUAAGCCACGGCUAACUACGUGCCAGCAGCCGCGGUAAUACGUAGGUGGCAAGCGUUGUCCGGAUUUACUGGGUGUAAAGGGAGCGUAGACGGCAAUACAAGUCGGAAGUGAAAUACCCGGGCUCAACCUGGGAACUGCUUUGGAAACUGUAUGGCUAGAGUGCUGGAGAGGUAAGCGGAAUUCCUAGUGUAGCGGUGAAAUGCGUAGAUAUUAGGAGGAACACCAGUGGCGAAGGCGGCCUGCUGGACGAUGACUGACGUUGAGGCUCGAAAGCGUGGGGAGCAAACAGGAUUAGGUACCCCAGUA